This is a long non-coding RNA of Apis dorsata (giant honeybee), 529 nucleotides long. RefSeq lists it as uncharacterized. The record is from RefSeq and is a predicted model, not a curated record. The transcript has 4 exons. NCBI's taxonomy places the organism in Eukaryota, Metazoa, Arthropoda, Insecta, Hymenoptera, Apidae.
GCAUUUUAAUAAAUAGAGCAAUGAAUCGGCAAGGCACGUCACGGCGCGAUUGUUUCGUGACCUUCGCACAAAUCAAGAUUGGUGCAUGCGAGCGCGUCCCUUCGGACAGAUAUUGAAUCAUAGAAUGAAAUGUUUUCUUGGGUUAAGCGAACAGUAUCAAAUCGAAAAGUAGAAUCAAGUUAACGGCAUCAUGAUCAAGUCAUUGAACGGAUCGAAAGAAGGGAAAAUCGCGUUGGCCUCGAUAAUAUCCAAGAAGCGCGUCUGCGUAAUUGUUACAAGUCUAUCUACGAUUAACUAAAAUGCGGAAAAGAAUGUUGCUGUUGUUGAUGACUGGUCUGAUUGCUAGAGAAAGGAGGUAUCAUACUAUGAUCUGCUCGUAAAAAUGGAGGUGGACAUAAAUUCGAAAGCGAUGGUUGCUGAAAAUUAUUACAAAAUGAACCAUGAAUUGGUUGUCUUUGAGCAGUAUGUGGUAACAUCAAAUGUGCUGCAAUAGGAUAUCUCAGUACAUUUCCAGUUUGAUCUGUAAAAA